Molecule: RNA transcript, 2062 nt
Organism: Schistocerca nitens (vagrant locust)
Lineage: Eukaryota; Metazoa; Arthropoda; Insecta; Orthoptera; Acrididae
Gene: Aduk
Gene name: serine/threonine-protein kinase ULK3
Exons: 10
Source: RefSeq, a predicted model, not a curated record
CAGACAGUAAAUGAAAUAAAAUCAAAACAUAUGUUUGUGACAGAGAUGCGGGUUUGAUGUUGUUGUUUCCAAUCGGUGGCAAUGUGAUAUGGCAUUACCGAAGGUGGAGGGCUAUGCCAUUGUUGAGAAAAUAGGCGCUGGAAGUUAUGCUUCAGUAUAUAAAGCGUUUAAAAAAGUUGGUGCAAGAGAGGUAGUUGCUGUGAAAUGUGUGGAUAAAUCUAGACUGAGUGGAUCUGCCAUUGAUAAUCUGGUAACAGAAAUAUCACUCCUGAAAGUCCUGAAACAUAAAAAUAUUGUUGAAAUGAAAGAUUUCAUGUGGGAUGAAAGGAACAUCUACAUUGUCAUGGAGUACUGCAAUGGUGGAGACUUGUCUUGUUUCAUACGUAAACGCAGAAAAUUACCAGAGACAGUAUGCAGGAAGUUUCUACAGCAGCUGGCUGUAGCUCUAAAAUUUCUCAGAUCUCACAAUGUCUGUCAUAUGGAUUUGAAGCCACAGAAUCUUCUCCUAACAUCCACUCCAAAAUUAAUCUUAAAACUUGCAGAUUUUGGUUUUGCCCAGUACUUGUCACCUGAAGACUACAACAGCUCUCUCCGAGGUUCACCUCUGUAUAUGGCACCUGAGAUGCUGCUGAAACGUCACUACGACGCCUCUGUUGACCUGUGGUCAGUCGGUGUCAUAAUGUAUGAGUGCCUGUUUGGACGAGCACCUUAUUCAUCCAGUAAUUUUAAAGAGCUAGCAGAAAAGAUAAAAAGCGAAAUGCCUAUUGAGGUUCCUCAUGGUGGGUGCAUUUCAGAUGACUGCAGAGACCUGCUUGUUAGACUUCUUAAACAUAAUCCCUCUGAGAGGAUUGAUUAUGAGUCCUUUUUUAAUCAUCCUUUCCUUGACCUGGAACACAUGCCAUCACCAGAAUCCUAUCAGAAAGCUGUGGAGCUGGUACAGAAGGCAGUGAAAUGUGAUGCUGAACAGAAAUUCAGUGAGGCAUUUGACUUUUAUUGUGAAUCCUUGAGGUAUUUUGUUCCUCUUGUGAAUGAUGAAGAUGAUACCAAGAAAAAAAUAGCCUUUCGUAAUAAGGUAAAUGAAUAUAUAAGACGAGCAGAAGACCUGAAAACUCUUCUGUACGAGAAAGAAAACAACUGUAAACAUCCCAAGGGUCAACAUACCACAGAUGGAACUUUAGAAGAACUAAUGCGAUUGUGUGCGACAAACUCCACAAUGCAAACCGCUCUGGAAAUUGGUGCUUCUGCAGAGCAGUAUUUGAAAGAGGGACAGUACUCACAUGCAUUGGAAAAAUUUCAAUCUUGUCUAGGUUUACUUGUGCCACUGCUGAGCAGUGAACCAAAAGGAAGAAGACGUGACCUCUUACAUACACAAGUGCAGCAGUGGUUAACACAAGCUGAAAACAUUAAGUCUUUCUUAAAUCUCAUUAGUAUCACCGAUGACACAGCAGCACUUUCUAAAGAAGCCUGUAGUAUACAAUGAAGUUCAUUUGAUGAGAACCAAUGGAGUGUUAUCUAGUUACAUCCAAGCAUUCUUUUGAAACUACAAAUUGAUACCACAAAGUUGGACACUUUAUAAAGCUUUCAGAAUUGUCACUGAUGGUAAUUCUUUGGGGAUGACAACAAUUUUCUUUGUAUCUGCGUAAUACUUACAUAUUUAUGAACCCAACAAUAACAUGAAGGGAAAGUAAUAAAAAUGGAAACACUUCAGCACUUUCGCCUUGGUGUUUAUACACUUAGCUAUGCUAUGCUUAAUCUUCUGCACUGCUGCACUCCAUGCGAAGAAAAACAAGCUUUUGGAAGAAGUGUUACCAUCGCCAACACUUUGAAUAGUGGUGGAAUAUGUUAUUUUCAAUGCUAAAAAUACAGAACAUUGUAAGAAUCAUCCACCAGAGUGGGAAACCUCUGGAAAUGUCCUGUAAUGUGGCUUGAGUACAUGUAGAUUAGAACAAAUUAAUGUCAUUCACAGACUAAUUCAUGCAUUAAAAUUAUUAGCAACAUAUUGCAAGAUUCGUGGAUGAACUGAAUUUAUGUCAUUUGAGCAUGUAGGAUUACAUUUUGUACA